AAUGGACCAAUUUGUAAGUCGCUCUGGAUAAGAGCUUCUGCUAAAUGACUUAAA
Molecule: non-coding RNA, 54 nt
Organism: Salmo salar (Atlantic salmon)
Lineage: Eukaryota; Metazoa; Chordata; Actinopteri; Salmoniformes; Salmonidae
Source: Rfam